This 246-nucleotide ribosomal RNA is filed under the name uncultured bacterium. Its description in RNAcentral is "partial 16S ribosomal RNA". It matches the Rfam family "Bacterial small subunit ribosomal RNA", at positions 524 to 770 of the family's 1533-position model. The record is from RNAcentral.
UACGUAGGUGGCAAGCGUUGUCCGGAAUUAUUGGGCGUAAAGCGCGCGCAGGUGGUUUCUUAAGUCUGAUGUGAAAGCCCACGGCUCAACCGUGGAGGGUCAUUGGAAACUGGGGAACUUGAGUGCAGAAGAGGAAAGUGGAAUUCCAAGUGUAGCGGUGAAAUGCGUAGAGAUUUGGAGGAACACCAGUGGCGAAGGCGGCUCGCUGGGCCGGACCUGACGCUGAGGCGCGAAGGCGUGGGAGCG